RNAcentral lists this ribosomal RNA (210 nucleotides) under uncultured bacterium. Its description in RNAcentral is "partial 16S ribosomal RNA". It matches the Rfam family "Bacterial small subunit ribosomal RNA", at positions 524 to 733 of the family's 1533-position model. The record is from RNAcentral.
UACGGAGGGUGCGAGCGUUAAUCGGAAUAACUGGGCGUAAAGGGUACGCAGGUGGGCAUUUAAGUGUGGUGUGAAAUCCCCGGGCUCAACCUGGGAAUAGCAGUGCAGACUGGAAGUCUAGAGUACUUUAGGGAGGGAUAGAAUUCCACGUGUAGCGGUGAAAUGCGUAGAGAUGUGGAGGAAUACCGAAGGCGAAGGCAGCCCCUUGGG